UCCAUAUGAUGAUUUCCACUUCUGGUCCGUGUUUAUGAAUUCUGUGAUUUCUGUGGAAGUUCUGAUGAG
Small nucleolar RNA from Rana temporaria (common frog), 69 nucleotides. RefSeq annotates it as small nucleolar RNA SNORD18. The transcript has a single exon. Lineage: Eukaryota; Metazoa; Chordata; Amphibia; Anura; Ranidae. The record is from RefSeq and is a predicted model, not a curated record.